Molecule: ribosomal RNA, 1000 nt
Filed under: Chryseobacterium jejuense
Lineage: Bacteria; Pseudomonadati; Bacteroidota; Flavobacteriia; Flavobacteriales; Weeksellaceae
Description: bacterial SSU rRNA
Rfam family: Bacterial small subunit ribosomal RNA
Source: RNAcentral
CUAACACAUGCAAGCCGAGCGGUAGAGUCUCUUCGGAGACUUGAGAGCGGCGCACGGGUGCGGAACACGUGUGCAACCUGCCUUUAUCUGGGGGAUAGCCUUUCGAAAGGAAGAUUAAUACCCCAUAAUAUACUUGAUGGCAUCAUCUGGUAUUGAAAACUCCGGUGGAUAGAGAUGGGCACGCGCAAGAUUAGAUAGUUGGUGAGGUAACGGCUCACCAAGUCAGCGAUCUUUAGGGGGCCUGAGAGGGUGAUCCCCCACACUGGUACUGAGACACGGACCAGACUCCUACGGGAGGCAGCAGUGAGGAAUAUUGGACAAUGGGUGAGAGCCUGAUCCAGCCAUCCCGCGUGAAGGACGACGGCCCUAUGGGUUGUAAACUUCUUUUGUAUAGGGAUAAACCUAGAUACGUGUAUCUAGCUGAAGGUACUAUACGAAUAAGCACCGGCUAACUCCGUGCCAGCAGCCGCGGUAAUACGGAGGGUGCAAGCGUUAUCCGGAUUUAUUGGGUUUAAAGGGUCCGUAGGCGGAUUUGUAAGUCAGUGGUGAAAUCUCACAGCUUAACUGUGAAACUGCCAUUGAUACUGCAAGUCUUGAGUGUUGUUGAAGUAGCUGGAAUAAGUAGUGUAGCGGUGAAAUGCAUAGAUAUUACUUAGAACACCAAUUGCGAAGGCAGGUUACUAAGCAACAACUGACGCUGAUGGACGAAAGCGUGGGGAGCGAACAGGAUUAGAUACCCUGGUAGUCCACGCCGUAAACGAUGCUAACUCGUUUUUGGGUUUUCAGAUUCAGAGACUAAGCGAAAGUGAUAAGUUAGCCACCUGGGGAGUACGAACGCAAGUUUGAAACUCAAAGGAAUUGACGGGGGCCCGCACAAGCGGUGGAUUAUGUGGUUUAAUUCGAUGAUACGCGAGGAACCUUACCAAGGCUUAAAUGGGAAAUGACAGGUUUAGAAAUAGACUUUUCUUCGGACAUUUUUCAAGGUGCUGCAUGGGUUGUC